This 206-nucleotide ribosomal RNA is filed under the name uncultured bacterium. Its description in RNAcentral is "partial 16S ribosomal RNA". It matches the Rfam family "Bacterial small subunit ribosomal RNA", at positions 568 to 775 of the family's 1533-position model. The record is from RNAcentral.
CACGUAGGCGGAAGGGCAAGUCAGAUGUGAAACCCGGGCUUAACCGCGGGCCUGCAUUUGAUACUGCUUUUCUUGAGUACGGGAGAGGAUGGCGGAAUUCCUGGUGUAGCGGUGAAAUGCGUAGAUAUCAGGAAGAACACCGGUGGCGAAGGCGACCAUCUGGACCGAUACUGACGCUAAGGUGCGAAGGCCGGGGGAGCAAAACA